This 209-nucleotide long non-coding RNA is filed under the name Lathyrus oleraceus (garden pea). RNAcentral describes it as "Pisum sativum (pea) long non-coding RNA (PSAT_LNC023417)". Lineage: Eukaryota; Viridiplantae; Streptophyta; Magnoliopsida; Fabales; Fabaceae. The record is from RNAcentral.
GGGUCUUAAGCUUUUUGUAACAUUGUAUUUAUGUAACCUUCAAUCAUUAUAUAUCAUUAAGUUUUUGUUACAACGAGGUUCACAAUAAACAUCAGUACAAAAUAAUCUAUCUGAAAAUAGAAAUAUUUCUAACUGAUUACAACAAUCAAAUUGAUGUCAUCUCGACCGAACAUCAUUUCCCUAACAUCCUUAUCAGUCUUCAUUCGCAC